RNAcentral lists this ribosomal RNA (232 nucleotides) under Dermacentor reticulatus. Its description in RNAcentral is "partial large subunit ribosomal RNA". Lineage: Eukaryota; Metazoa; Arthropoda; Arachnida; Ixodida; Ixodidae. The record is from RNAcentral.
CUAAGAGAUGGAUUUCAGGGAAAGUUUUUUUAAAUUUAAUAAUUAAAGUUAUUUUAAUUUGUGAAGAAACAAUUAUAUAAAUUAAGGACAAGAAGACCCUAAGAAUUUAAGAAUUCUUAUGUUACUUAAAUAUAAAAUAGGAAUUCUUAGUUGGGGCAACUAAAAAACAUUAUAAACUUUUUUUCUUUAAAAUGACCCAUUAUUAAUGAUAAUAUGAUUAAAUACUCUAGGG